CUCCUCAAGAAACCGGCGCAGAAGCUGUGCGCAGGAGCGAGGGAGGGUCUGCCUUCUGUCUGCCGGUGCCACUCGCUUCACGUGACCCGGAACCAGGUCUUCUACAGCAUAGAGAUAUGGAAAAUGGAAUCUGCUCAUGUUCGCUGUCUGACAAAACCAGCAGGAAUACCUGUUUCACCCCCAGAGAUCUGGGAGAGACGUGAACUGCCACUUGGUUGCCAAGUUCACUGAAACAGUUCUUCCAGAAGGCAGAGCUGUGGGAAGAUGGCUACAAUCCCUGGCUUGAAUAUCACAGAUUUCUACUCUUCUUGUUACGUGUCCACACAUUUUGCAGGAUUAAGGUUUCUCAAUUUGUUGUAAACCCCUCAAUCAAUCUCCAGAGAUUUUGAACAAUUGACUUUAUUAAUUUUGA
Molecule: long non-coding RNA, 412 nt
Organism: Herpailurus yagouaroundi (jaguarundi)
Lineage: Eukaryota; Metazoa; Chordata; Mammalia; Carnivora; Felidae
Exons: 2
Source: RefSeq, a predicted model, not a curated record